RNAcentral lists this ribosomal RNA (311 nucleotides) under Saccostrea cuccullata (small rock oyster). Its description in RNAcentral is "Saccostrea cucullata (small rock oyster) partial 16S ribosomal RNA". It matches the Rfam family "Bacterial large subunit ribosomal RNA", at positions 1938 to 2479 of the family's 2925-position model. The record is from RNAcentral. Lineage: Eukaryota; Metazoa; Mollusca; Bivalvia; Ostreida; Ostreidae.
UAGCGUGAGGGUGCCAAGGUAGCGAAAUUCCUUGCCUUUUAAUUGUAGGCCUGCAUGAAUGGAUUGACGAGGGCCAUUCUGUCUCUUGCCUUAUGAAGUGAAAUUGGAUUAAAGGUGAAGAUACCUUUAUUAAAAAGUUAGACAAGAAGACCCCGUGCAGCUUUUAAAAGAUCCUUUAUUAAGAGAGGUAGAUUUUUAGGUGGGGCGCCUAGGAAGUAAAAUUUAACCUUCUGUGUAAUUUUGUUUGUGACAACUCUCUAGUAUAGACCCGGUGAAAUCCGAUCGUAGGAGAAGUUACGCCGGGGAUAACA